This 279-nucleotide ribosomal RNA is filed under the name uncultured bacterium. RNAcentral's name for it is "partial 16S ribosomal RNA". It matches the Rfam family "Bacterial small subunit ribosomal RNA", at positions 506 to 784 of the family's 1533-position model. The record is from RNAcentral.
UGCCAGCAGCCGCGGUAAGACGGAGGGUCCUAGCGUUGUUCGGAAUGACUGGGCGUAAAGGGUACGUAGGCGGUUUGGUCAGUUAGAUGUGAAAGCCCAGGGCUCAACCUUGGAACUGCAUUUAAUACUGCCAGACUUGAGAUCGGAAGAGGAAAGCGGAAUUUCUAGUGUAGAGGUGAAAUUCGUAGAUAUUGGAUGGAACACCAGUGGCGAAGGCGCCCAACUGGACCAUUACUGACGCUCAGGCACGAAAGCGUGGGGAGCAAACAGGAUUAGAUA